RNAcentral lists this long non-coding RNA (2729 nucleotides) under Marmota monax (woodchuck). Lineage: Eukaryota; Metazoa; Chordata; Mammalia; Rodentia; Sciuridae. The record is from RNAcentral.
GUUAGGACAUAAAACAUUUUCACCACCCCGGCAUGUCAUCUUCCCCCACGAUAAUAUGUUUUAACAAACUAAUAGCUUAAUAUCGAUUGAAAAAUGUAGAUGAAAAUCUCAUCUCUUUUCUCGUUGUUUGUUGACCAUCAUAAAGUGGAAAAAAGCAAGAGGCAGGUCUCUAAUGCCAGCCUGAACACAAUGACAACCAUUGUCAUUUAUUAUUUUCUAAGGCACUUGCUGGACAUUUCUCCCAUAUCAUCUUUUAUUAUUACACCCUGGUCUGACCUCCAGAUAAGACUGAGUUUCAGAGAAGUUAAUUUCCCUGCUCAGGUGAACAAGGCAGGGUCCUUACAAACAAAAAGUCCAGGGGAGGGGAGGGUUGGAGGAUGCAUCUACCAGGGUGUCCUGUCCUAUUUCAGAUGAAGGUAGGCAGGAAUGGAAGAGGACCAAUACUCCCUUUACUCUGGAGAAGGCAGCUGGGUGGUGUCUUCGAGUUCAGUGUUAGCCCACACUCAGGUCCCAGCCCAAAGGUCAGGGCUGCGCCAGCCUCAGGAUAUUGCCUAAGAAUCUGCAUACCAGUCCCUGUGUGGCCAUCCUGGGCCGGCAAGUGUCCUAUGAAGAUGGAAGGGGAGGUGGGAUAGGGGAAUAUUAGUUCAAUGGUGGAACACUUUCCUAGCAUGUGAAAGCCCUGAGUUCAAGUCUUGGCAUCUCAAAAACAGAAAGAAAGAGAGAGAGAGAGAGAGAAAACAGAGGAGGAGGGGCCGAGGGGUCCACCUGAGCCCACACCCCGGCCCCAUGUUCUUCUUUGCUUUUGAAUGACAUAAGCAGCUCCUUUACCCCACCUCAGGAUGAUAAAGCAUACAAGAAAAAAAAUAGUUUUGCAACGACUGGUAGAUCCUCUCUCUUUAAUUAAGUGAUUGACUUAUAUCUAACGGGGGAAAGAAAUUAACGUGUUCUUUUGAGUAUAGGGCUAUGCUGAGAAAUUUACAAGAAUAUUAAAAGGAAUUUUACCUCAGUAUUUCCUUCCAGAUCUCUCCACUUUUCUGUAACUCUGCUCAUUCUAAAGUAAAAGAAUUGCCUCAUCUAUGUCUGUAGGGAAAACUGAACAUUGUAGAGUGGAUAUAAAAAGGAUGGAAGUUAGAUUUAUAAUGCAGAUUUUUGUGUCUGUGGUGGAGAAAGAUCAGACACCUGACAACCUAAGGCACCUUUCAGAAAUUGCCACUCCUUCUCAACCAGUGAAUGCAUCACCUCUUCUAAGCAUGAAGAGAGGUGGCCUAAAUUCCUGUUGCUGUGGCCUUCUGUGUAGGAGCAAGUGCUCACCACCAGCUGCAGCCCUCUGCCCACAGCCUCUUCCACCUGUCCUAAUGGUUUCCUGCUUCCAGCACCUACAGGUGUCUGCCUGAAGGAGGAGCAGAGGAGGCUAAAUCCUGGGACAGGUGUCAAGUACCUGGAAGUUCAUGAUCUUCAGCUGAUUCCAGAUGGAGGGUGCUGGAUAAAUAGCCCAGCUUCCUUACACCAGAUGGAACAACUAUAGAGCAUGUUCUGCGCCAUGUCUCAGAGGUUCCCAGUGGGACUGAGCCCUCAGAGUCCAUCUGCUCAGACCCUAUGUGUACUGGCUUUUCCCCUUUCCCUUUCUCACUUCCCUACUCUGGUCCUUUCUGGAAUCUUUUCUUUGAUUGACUUACAUGUGAAUCCUUGUCUCAGUGUCUGUACCUAGGAGAGUCCAGAUGGAGACCCAGAUGCCUGAAGUCUCCCUUUUGCCUUCAUUCUGGAUCUGGCAUUAGUUUCUCAGAGGUCACCCAUGACUUGACUGGCCCAGCUCUACAAGUGUUCCUUGGGAAUAUCGAAAUUAUUGAUCCAUCUUUUUUGUAGUGAUUAACUUGGGAUGGCAAGGAGGCAGGAAGCCCAGGAAAGCCUGGCAAGGGACAUGGAGAGUAACCAGUAGCUGGUUAGUUACUCUUGCUCCUCAUGCUCAUACCUGGGACAUCCAGUUACCCUCAUAUAGAUCUGGGAGCAUGGCUCCUGUCCACUCAGGACCCAUCCUCAAGGCCAGUGACUUGUCUUUUCCCACCAUAAAGCAGCUCUCAGCUUCUCUGAGAGCAGCUCACAUUCCUACCUCCCAAGAAGGAGUGGAUUGGGUCAGGGAAACAUCCUCUAAUUUGCAGAGCCUCCAUUAUUCGGGUUCUAGGCCAAAACACCUGGUGACCAGGUGGCUUCUCUAAAGUCCAGCCUACAUGGUUAUUUUUGACUUAUACAAAAAUAACACAGGAACACAUGGCACAAGGUGACAACCAUAUACAGAAAGAGCUACUCCCAUUCCUCAGAAGACACUAUGGAGAUGAAGUGUCAUGAGCUGCUUUCUGUGUUCCAAAGCUUUAAUCCUUAUCUUAGAAUUUUGACUAUACUUGGAGAUAAGGCCUUUUAGGAGGUGAUUAGUUAAAAUGAGGCCAUUAGACUGGGCCUCAUCCAAUACCACCGUCCUUAUAUGAAGAGGACAUUAGGACACAGACGUGUAGAGGGAAGACCUUUCAAGGACACAGGAAGAAGACAGCCAUCUGCAAGCCCAGGAGAGAGGUUCCUGGAGAAACCAACCCUUCCAACACCACCAUCUUGGACUUUCUGCCUCCAAAGCCUUGAGAAAUAAAUUUCUGUUGUUAAAACCAUUCAGUCUAUGGUACUUUAUUCUGGAAGCCCUAGCUGACCAAUGCAUGGUGGCACUUAAAGAUCUACCUUGAACC